This 1990-nucleotide ribosomal RNA is filed under the name Triticum aestivum (bread wheat). Its description in RNAcentral is "partial small subunit ribosomal RNA". Lineage: Eukaryota; Viridiplantae; Streptophyta; Magnoliopsida; Poales; Poaceae. The record is from RNAcentral.
GGAUCUAACGAACGGCCCUGUCCUCGGGGGGUUUUGGCGGUGGCCGAAAGAGAGCGAGAGCGCAAGUCCAUUAGCAGGAGAGGCCAGAGGGAGAAGUCAGAGCCAAGCUAAACCAAUAUAGCGGAGGAUACGUAAGUCUAGUCAGCUAGGUGGAGUAGCGUCCAGGAGAGCUAAAGCGGCGCAGGAAGAGGAGACUAGGCUUCCUCUUAACGCAAAAGAACUUCUUAUUUCUCGCCACGACUUCGAUCAGUCUUUACCUUCAUCUAUGUGACUUCCUACUUAAGCUAGUACAACAAUUUUUCGUCUUUGAACGUAGGAGCUCUUGAUAUCUAAACCAUUUGGUUUAGCUCUUUCUUUAACUCGUCCGAUAGCCACGAUAGGUUCUUUUACCGUGUCUAUCCCUACGACGUAGUUUGGACUUGGUACUUUAAGAAUGAUUAGACUUCUUAUGCGACUUUCUCAACCAAGGUCACUUCGUUGAACUCUCGACGGUCUUUCUUUACUUGUGACGUGAGCCGUUCACCCAUUUCUGGUGGCUCUUUAAGAAGUAGUUACUAUAAAGUUUUCGAAUGUUCUUACAGCUGUACCUUGGCGUACAUGAAUUACUCUAAUAACGUUUGGUAGAUAUGGCCCUCCGUAAUAAACUGUAUCCACUGUUGAAAGAACCUCUCCGGUCAACGAAUCGUAGAUAUUUUGACUUUGUUGACAAAGUCCUCUACAUACUCUAAAAACCACGCGACGCCUGACUCUUUAGACUCGGACGAGACUCAACCCGUUACUUUUUAGUACUACGUGAUGACGUUUUGCUAAGGACAGAGCUUGAAUUCGAAGUGGUCAACGUCAAACAACUCUAUGAGUUCGUUCCUUUUUCUCUACUCCGAGAAGUCAUACGAUCCUGUAUGGACCGCGGUAAACGAUGGUAUGUGUUCCUACAUUAGGUCUUCGACUAUCGGAGGUAUAAUACCCGGCCCGCGGAUCUGGUCAGUGGUAUAUGUCUCAAGAAUCAUGGUUGAUUGACCCUCUUCGAUCGACUCCUCAAGCGAGUUGUCAAGACGUUAGACUUCCCAGUUAGGAGGUGUCCAGGAUACCCGUACUGUCAACGUCGACCUCGACUUCACAACGGUUAAGAAGAAUUUGACUACUGCCAUGAUUGACGUUUUUCCCUCACCGUGAGAUACUUCCUUAAAGGAAAGGGUAACCUGGAGGCGUCCCUAAAAGUCAAGGUGAGUCACAAGUAGACAGGACACGAAGCACUCGUUCCAUCACUACUAUUAGGAGGUUACGAAGAAGGUACACCCGUACAGAACAGCUUCGUCAGCUGACACUUUAAUAGUUUCUCGUCGAGGGCCAGAAAGUUUACGGGUAUAACGGGCAAGCUUCGUAACCGUAGACUCACAUUCGCCGAAAUAUAGACUCCUAAAGAACGAGAUACUAACCGGUAAACACACGUGGUCGGAAACGAUAGAGAAAAGGACAGUUGCCACGAUGCAAGAAAAUAGUGGAGGGACUAUUACAGUUUAAAAGCAACUGUGAACAUUUCCAUUCUGCAAUAUGAGUCCCACGAGUUGAGACGAGUACAGAACAUAUAUCUCAUACUUUCUCUACAUUAUUCUUGUGUAACCUACUAACUAAGAGAAAUAUCCCGGUACCCCACUAAAUUGACACAAACUAACUGAACCUUCACGGUCGAACAAAAAAAAUCUCUUUACUCGAGAGAAAAAAUCCCUUCGUUAAAAAAAUUAGUCGAGGAAAUUCGCUACCAUAAUUGAACACUACGAUUGGGACACAAACCAACGCGACAUCUAAGAACUUUUCGACAACACCUUUUCGACCUCCAACAAACCAAUUUUGCUGAUCCAACAAACCAAUUUUGCUGACUUUGACAUCUAAAUCAACACUUAACAGACAUCACAGGGACCCCAGACUCACUUAUACAAAUAUACGAUUAACUGGCAUUUCGCCACUAUACAUGUAAACAUCCAUUAACUUG